This 245-nucleotide ribosomal RNA is filed under the name uncultured bacterium. Its description in RNAcentral is "partial 16S ribosomal RNA". It matches the Rfam family "Bacterial small subunit ribosomal RNA", at positions 524 to 768 of the family's 1533-position model. The record is from RNAcentral.
UAUGUAGGGGGCGAGCGUUGUCCGGAUUCAUUUGGCGUAAAGAGCGCACAGGCGGUCGUUCAAGUCGCGUGUGAAAGCCCCCGGCUCAACUGGGGAGGGUCACGCGAUACUGAUCGACUCGAAGGCAGGAGAGGGUAGUGGAAUUCCCGGUGUAGUGGUGAAAUGCGUAGAUAUCGGGAGGAACACCAGUGGCGAAGGCGACUACCUGGCCUGUUCUUGACGCUGAGGCGCGAAAGCUAGGGGAG